GCCGCGUGUGUGANGAAGGCCUUCGGGUUGUAAAGCACUUUUGUCCGGAAAGAAAUCCUUGGCUCUAAUACAGUCGGGGGAUGACGGUACCGGAAGAAUAAGCACCGGCUAACUACGUGCCAGCAGCCGCGGUAAUACGUAGGGUGCAAGCGUUAAUCGGAAUUACUGGGCGUAAAGCGUGCGCAGGCGGUUUGCUAAGACCGAUGUGAAAUCCCCGGGCUCAACCUGGGAACUGCAUUGGUGACUGGCAGGCUAGAGUAUGGCAGAGGGGGGUAGAAUUCCACGUGUAGCAGUGANAUGCGUAGAGAUGUGGAGGAAUACCGAUGGCGAAGGCAGCCCCCUGGGCCAAUACUGACGCUCAUGCACGAAAGCGUGGGGAGCAAACAGGAUUAGAUACCCUGGUAGUCCACGCCCUAAACGAUGUCAACUAGUUGUUGGGGAUUCAUUUCCUUAGUAACGUAGCUAACGCGUGAAGUUGACCGCCUGGGGAGUACGGUCGCAAGAUUAAAACUCAAAGGAAUUGACGGGGACCCGCACAAGCGGUGGAUGAUGUGGAUUAAUUCGAUGCAACGCGAANAANCUUACCUACCCUUGACAUGGUCGGAAUCCUGNCGAGAGGCGGGAGUGCUCGAAGAGAACCGGCGCACAGGUGCUGCAUGGCUGUCGNCAGCUCGUGUCGNGAGAUGUUGGGUUAGUCNGCAACGAGCGCACCCNUGUCUUAGNUGCUACCCAGAGCAC
Molecule: ribosomal RNA, 738 nt
Filed under: Burkholderia cepacia
Lineage: Bacteria; Pseudomonadati; Pseudomonadota; Betaproteobacteria; Burkholderiales; Burkholderiaceae
Description: bacterial SSU rRNA
Rfam family: Bacterial small subunit ribosomal RNA
Source: RNAcentral